AAGUUUGUAGCGAACCGCAGUUAGUUUCGACCUAACCUAUGGUGAUUUAUAACCCACCCUAACUUA
Molecule: transfer RNA, 66 nt
Filed under: Gatzara nigrivena
Lineage: Eukaryota; Metazoa; Arthropoda; Insecta; Neuroptera; Myrmeleontidae
Description: tRNA-Arg
Source: RNAcentral